Molecule: transfer RNA, 823 nt
Filed under: Rhodopseudomonas palustris
Lineage: Bacteria; Pseudomonadati; Pseudomonadota; Alphaproteobacteria; Hyphomicrobiales; Nitrobacteraceae
Rfam family: tRNA (bases 212-285)
Source: RNAcentral
AAGGAUGGGUCUUCAGUCUUGUUUGCUCUUCGGAGUGAUCAACUAUCGACCUGUUUUAGAAACAUCAGGGUCUCUAAGUCAUACGAGACCCAUUGGCGGGAUUUCGCCGUCUUCGUUUCUCUUUCUUCGCGGACGAACACGCGCCUGGGGUGCGCAGUUGAUCGGGUCGGGCCUUGGUCCACCGAUGGAUUGCUGCGGCCUCACGUGCUGAGGGCUUGUAGCUCAGUUGGUUAGAGCGCGCGCUUGAUAAGCGUGAGGUCGGAAGUUCAAGUCUUCCCAGGCCCACCACUCAUCAAAAGCGUUGCUUUCGUCUUCUGGUACGGGGCCAUAGCUCAGCUGGGAGAGCGCGUGCUUUGCAAGCAUGAGGUCGUCGGUUCGAUCCCGUCUGGCUCCACCAGAUGGUGAUCAUCAGACCCGUGUUUGUGCCUCGCUGCUGUCAUUCGGAUAGCGCGAUGGACAUCGUCCGCAACUUGUAUUCGCCGGCCUGUGCGCUGCACGGCUUGGCGGGUUAAUUGACAUCGUAAAGAGGAGAUCGAUCCGAGUUCGGAUCUGCGGAGCAAUCUGCGGAGGCCGUUCGCUUAUCUCCGGAGCGUUUUCGGCGCCUGCGCAUCGCAAGAUGCAGCCAUCGCAAGAUGGUCAGGUUGUAAAACGCUUCAUGUUGACGACGCUUGACCGCAUCGUCAUCGGUUCGAUCUUACGAAGCAAUAACUGGUCUUUCUAAUCAGUGUCCGUUUGCGGCGUCGCUCUUGAAGGUUCGUCCUUCGGAGUGUGCUGCGAGCAACAUUCUGCCGAGUGUGUGGACAUUGAUAAUGAGAGCAAUCAA